AAACACUGCACACACUUUAUCUCUCAUUAAUUAAAUUUGAAAUUCUUAUGUUACAAAAUUAUAUGCUUUAACUCUUUAAACGAUGGUAAGGGGUGGAAACAGGCGUUGUAACUGAAAUAGCAAUAUAAACAUAAAGUGAUAUUUCAACGCCAAGAUAAUAUAUUACUGAUAGUUAAAAUUGAUCUAUAUUGUCACGAUUGUGUUUUUUAUACUUGUAUAUAAUUUUUUAAAUGUGUUUAAGGAUUUAAUAGAAAAGAUGAAAUUUCCACUGACGGUUGCAGAGAGGGAUGAGCUCUGUAGUGCUUUUGAUGUGCAUUUAAAUGGCUGGUUCAAUUACAUCCAAUUUUUGAAGGCAGUAAACAGAGCAUUCACAAAAGCCCCCAGACAGUCAUUGUUGUUUUUAACAUUCGUACCAAACAUUUACAUAGAAAAGCAGGCCCAACAUCUUUGGCAAUUACAAUAUAUGAUUUUAUCUAUGAAUUAAAAGAAAUCCUUCUAAAGAAAUUUAAAACUUUGCGGGGAGCUUUCAAGUUUUUUGACCUCAACCAUAAUGGCUUUAUAGAAGAAACAGAAAUGAAAAAAUCACUGACUUUGUUGGGAUAUAACUUGUCUAAUCAGGAUUUUACUGACAUAUUUGAAGUAUUUGAUCAAAGUCAAAGAAAAGGGCUUUCUUUCGAAAAUUUCAAAAAUACUUUACUAAAUGUCCUAUAAUUAUUAUUGGUUCUUUUUUUACACUUUAGAUAUAUCUUAUAGUCUGCUUUAAUUUUUCGUGAUGUUAUUAAUUUUUAUACUUAUUUUGUAUUAUAAUUAUUUUGCAUUGUAAAAUAACAGAAUUGUAAAUCAUCAAAAAGGCCUUCAACAGAGAACCGUUUAGAAUUUCAUCCAAAUAUGACAGCGAGAAGCAGUGGCGGAUUAAGGGGGUGCUGAAAAUGCUGCAGCUAGGGGCCCCCGAUUUUUAGGGGCCCCAUAUGUACCGCCUAAUUGUUGGUUUUCACUAUAAAAACUAAAGUUUCAAUGUUUGCAUCACAAGCUUCAAUUUUUUUUCAAAAUUUCUUAAACUUGCACACACUUACAUAUAAAUACCACCGGUCAAUCUUCACCUCCUACCCAGACAUCUAUGACAUUAAGAUACGUCAGUCCAUCCUUCUUCCUUCCUUUCAUCAUCGCUAUAGAUUUUAGAACCAUAAGAGCGACACACCUUUUUUUUUAUAUCUAACAUAUAAUGUUCAAUUCUUUUUUUUUUCAUGAGCAUAUACAUACAUGCAAUUUUAUACAUACAAAAUAUUUUUGUGUUAUUGCAUGUUUGACUAGGGAAAUUGGUGCGCAUGAUUGAUGGUGCGGCCGUAUAUUGAACGAGUGAAUGUGUGACGCGGUACGAAAGAUAGUGACGUUUUAGGGUAGAGAGUUGGUUGCUAUGAGUUUAUAUGUGAGUGAGUCUAAUCUUGAUCGUCGGUAUGAAUGGACGUGUACUGGUCCGUACGCCUCAAGUUGGGAGAUAGAUGUAUAUGUAUGAAUAACGUAUUAGACUAGGAAUAUUGAGUUUGCCUUAUCUCUGAGCGCCGUAUGUUGGACUGAACGUGAGAUAGCCUUAUUGGUUCCCAAGGUCAGAACUUCUCUCCCUGGUAUUGGAGAUGAACCAAAUGGUAGUUGGCCGAAUCAAGUGACUCAAACCCUUUCACUGCACAACCUAAGCGUAACAGUUAUCAUGUUUUAUAAACAGUGCUACUUAUAUUUACAUUAUGAUUUAUACCUUACUUUUACUAACAUAUCUUUGGCAACUAGUGAGAUUAGGUUUUGAAAACAUUGGUUGAUUGAUUCCUAGUAAGUAACAAAACGUCUAAACUAAAAUUUCAGCAUAAAAUUGGGUAUAUAAUGACUUGAUAAAUAAUUAUAUUUCUUGUUAUGAAAGGACAAUCGUUUAUUGAGGGAUCUGCAGGUGGUGGUUCGUUAUGAUUAAUCCACGACAAAUAUACAAACAUACAGAAUUGAACAUUAUAUGUAUAUAUAUAUAUAUAUAUAUAUAUAUAUAUAUAUAUAUAUAUAUAUAUAUAUAUAUAUGUGCGUGCGUGUAAUCGUGUGUAUACACGCGUGAGUGUGUGUAAGCGUGUGUGCGACAGUCCGGAAAAGUUUUAAUAAUUACAGUGUAUAAUUUUCGUUUCAAGUAUCACACCUCAAGUGCUUUUUACUUGCAUCGCAUAUAUUUAUUAUAAUUUGAUGGUUAGGGUUUAUUUAUAUAACGACUAAAAUGUUUUGUAUAGUUGUCAAUGUUUUUACUCUUUUGCAUAACAUAAAUUAAAUAUUAAAUAAACGCACAUUGCUAAAAGAUAUUAGACGGAUCAAUGUCAAAUAAUACUUUCGCUUAGAUUACUAGAAAAAUUGGAUACAUUUUAAUAACAGUGUCAAAAAAAACUAAUUAAUUAAAAUAUUGUACAAUUUUGCCAUAAGAGGUAAUUUAAAUAGAAAUUAAACGCAAGCUAAUUAAAAAAAUGUGAAUGUAAGAGGACAUUAUUGUUAGAAUAUUAUAAUUCAUGGAUUGAUAAAAUGCACUGUGGUAGGUAAAACACGGAUAUUUUAAAUACUGCCUUUUGUUUAUUUUAAGGAUAAGUUGGGGUAUUAUAGUCGUUUUAUAAGUUGAAUCGGGCGGUUCCGCCGGCGCCGCGGCCGAUGAUUUUAGAUUUGUUUAUUUUUCGUAUGUUUAUGCGUAUAUCCAAGCUUCAGUGGCUUAGAUAAUACUGAGAGAGCCGCCUAAUACAAAGGCUAACGUGUAUAAUAUCUUUUGCUUAAUCCCCAUCUGUUGACUUUUUGUUUUGCCUAUCUUGGAAUACUAGCGUAUUUUCAUUAGGAUUUGUUUACUUAUUGUUUUUCGUUUCAUUUCACGCACACACACAAACACACACACACACACAUAUAUAUAUAUAUAUAUAUAUAUAUAUAUAUAUAAUAUAAGCGGGCUGUGUCUGUCCUUCCUUCCGUCCGUCAUCGCUAUAGAUUUUGGGACUAUAAAAGUAAACUACGCACCAUGCUGUGCUUUUCAGUGCACCGCAGUGUCUUACUAUAAUUUACAGAGUAGGGUUUGUUUAUAUAACGGCAUAGAGCUAUUUUAUAAUUUCCACUGUUUGUACAAUUUUGCAUAACGUAAAGAGAAUAUUAAAUACACGGACAUUGCUAAAACUUAUUAAAAGGAUCAAUGUCAAAUAUCGUUUUCGUUAAUAUUCCCAGAAAAAAUGGAUACAUUUUCAUAAAAGUAGGUCGAAAAAACUAAUUAAUUCAACUAUUUUUUUGGUAAUUUUUUUGCAAGGGAGGUAGUUUGAAAAUAUAUUUAACUCAUCAAUAAUUUAAGUUAAUUUUUUUUUAUUACUACCGCAUUGAUUAUUAUAUGUUUAGGUUCAUAAGUAAAAUAGAAAAAUGUUAAGAUUAUUUAUAUUAUUUUCUAAUUAGUCUAUGAUCUCUCAAAAUCACUAUUGUUUGUUUU
Long non-coding RNA from Physella acuta, 3472 nucleotides. RefSeq lists it as uncharacterized. The record is from RefSeq and is a predicted model, not a curated record. Lineage: Eukaryota; Metazoa; Mollusca; Gastropoda; Physidae.